Molecule: ribosomal RNA, 492 nt
Filed under: uncultured bacterium
Lineage: Bacteria
Description: partial 16S ribosomal RNA
Rfam family: Bacterial small subunit ribosomal RNA
Source: RNAcentral
AGUGAACGCUGGCGGUAGGCCUAACACAUGCAAGUCGAGCGGCAGCACAGUAAGAGCUUGCUCUUACGGGUGGCGAGUGGCGGACGGGUGAGGAAUACAUCGGGAUCUACUUUUUCGUGGGGGAUAACGUAGGGAAACUUACGCUAAUACCGCAUACGACCUACGGGUGAAAGCAGGGGAUCUUCGGACCUUGCGCGAUUGAAUGAGCCGAUGUCGGAUUAGCUAGUUGGCGGGGUAAAGGCCCACCAAGGCGACGAUCCGUAGCUGGUCUGAGAGGAUGAUCAGCCACACUGGAACUGAGACACGGUCCAGACUCCUACGGGAGGCAGCAGUGGGGAAUAUUGGACAAUGGGCGCAAGCCUGAUCCAGCCAUACCGCGUGGGUGAAGAAGGCCUUCGGGUUGUAAAGCCCUUUUGUUGGGAAAGAAAAGCAGCAGGUUAAUACCCCGCUGUUCUGACGGUACCCAAAGAAUAAGCACCGGCUAACUUCGUG